AACGAACGCUGGCGGCAUGCCUAACACAUGCAAGUCGAACGAGACCUUCGGGUCUAGUGGCGCACGGGUGCGUAACGCGUGGGAACCUGCCCUUAGGUUCGGAAUAACUCCCCGAAAGGGGUGCUAAUACCGGAUAAUGUCUUCGGACCAAAGAUUUAUCGCCUUUGGAUGGGCCCGCGUUGGAUUAGCUAGUUGGUAGGGUAAAAGCCUACCAAGGCGACGAUCCAUAGCUGGUCUGAGAGGAUGAUCAGCCACACUGGGACUGGGACACGGCCCAGACCCCUACGGGGGGCAGCAGGGGGGAAUUUGGGAAAAGGGGCGAAAGCCUGAUCCAGCAAUGCCGGGUGAGUGAUGAAGGCCUUAGGGUUGUAAAGCUCUUUUACCCGGGAUGAUAAUGACAGUACCGGGGGAAUAAGCCCCGGCUAACUCCGG
Molecule: ribosomal RNA, 432 nt
Filed under: uncultured bacterium
Lineage: Bacteria
Description: partial 16S ribosomal RNA
Rfam family: Bacterial small subunit ribosomal RNA
Source: RNAcentral